This is a small nucleolar RNA of Myotis lucifugus (little brown bat), 131 nucleotides long. Lineage: Eukaryota; Metazoa; Chordata; Mammalia; Chiroptera; Vespertilionidae. The record is from Ensembl.
AAGAAUACUAGUUGUGCAGCUACUUCCAUGUAGCUGCUGCGCUCAAAAAGGAGCCCAGAGUGACAGUUUUCCUUGACGGUUGCCGUUCUGUUUGCUGUAACCGAUUUGCAACAUUUCAGGAAAAGACAAUU